AGGGAUAUAGCUCAGUGGUAGAGCACAUGCUUAGCACGCAUGAGGUCUUGGGUUCGAUCCCUAGUGCCUCCA
RNAcentral lists this transfer RNA (72 nucleotides) under Camelus bactrianus (Bactrian camel). It matches the Rfam family "tRNA". Rfam says of the family: Transfer RNA (tRNA) molecules are approximately 80 nucleotides in length. RNAcentral also lists the same sequence under 2 other names. Lineage: Eukaryota; Metazoa; Chordata; Mammalia; Artiodactyla; Camelidae. The record is from Rfam by way of RNAcentral.